This 120-nucleotide ribosomal RNA is filed under the name uncultured bacterium. Its description in RNAcentral is "partial 16S ribosomal RNA". It matches the Rfam family "Bacterial small subunit ribosomal RNA", at positions 215 to 334 of the family's 1533-position model. The record is from RNAcentral.
CCGCUUUUUGAGGAGCCCGCGGCCUAUCAGCUUGUUGGUGAGGUAACGGCUCACCAAGGCAUUGACGGGUAGCUGGUCUGAGAGGACGACCAGUCACACUGGGACUGAGACACGGCCCAG